RNAcentral lists this ribosomal RNA (204 nucleotides) under uncultured bacterium. Its description in RNAcentral is "partial 16S ribosomal RNA". It matches the Rfam family "Bacterial small subunit ribosomal RNA", at positions 332 to 526 of the family's 1533-position model. The record is from RNAcentral.
AUUACUCCUACGGGAGGCAGCAGUAGGGAAUCUUCGGCAAUGGACGAAAGUCUGACCGAGCAACGCCGCGUGAGUGAAGAAGGUUUUCGGAUCGUAAAACUCUGUUGUUAGAGAAGAAUGUUGAUUAGAGUGGAAAAUUAAUCAAGUGACGGUAUCUAACCAGAAAGGGACGGCUAACUACGUGCCAGCAGCCGCGGUAAUAAU